AGAGUUUGAUCCUGGCUCAGAACGAACGCUGGCGGCAGGCCUAACACAUGCAAGUCGAGCGCCCCGCAAGGGGAGCGGCGGACGGGUGAGUAACACGUGGGAAUUUUCCUCAAGGUACGGAACAACUCAGGGAAACUUGGGCUAAUACCGUAUGAUGCAGAGAUGCCAAAGAUUUAUCGCCUUGGGAUAAGCCCGCGUCAGAUUAGGUAGUUGGUGAGGUAACGGCUCACCAAGCCUGUGAUCUGUAGCUGGUCUGAGAGGACGAUCAGCCACAUUGGGACUGAGACACGGCCCAAACUCCUACGGGAGGCAGCAGUGGGGAAUCUUGCGCAAUGGGCGAAAGCCUGACGCAGCCAUGCCGCGUGAAUGAUGAAGGUCUUAGGAUUGUAAAGUUCUUUCGCUCGUGACGAUGAUGACGGUAACGAGAGAAGAAGCCCCGGCUAACUUCGUGCCAGCAGCCGCGGUAAUACGAAGGGGGCUAGCGUUGUUCGGAAUUACUGGGCGUAAAGCGCGCGUAGGCGGCUUUGCAAGCCAGAGGUGAAAUGCCUGAGCUCAACUUAGGAAUUGCCUUUGGGACUGCGAGGCUUCGAGGACUGGAGAGGUGAGUGGAAUUCCCAGUGUAGAGGUGAAAUUCGUAGAUAUUGGGAAGAACACCAGUGGCGAAGGCGGCUCACUGGCCAGUUUCUGACGCUAAAGUGCGAAAGCGUGGGGAUCAAACAGGAUUAGAUACCCUGGUAGUCCACGCUGUAAACGAUGAGUGCUAGGCGUCGGCACGCUUGCGUGUCGGUGCCGCAGCUAAC
This 800-nucleotide ribosomal RNA is filed under the name uncultured bacterium. RNAcentral describes it as "bacterial SSU rRNA". It matches the Rfam family "Bacterial small subunit ribosomal RNA", at positions 8 to 856 of the family's 1533-position model. The record is from RNAcentral.